GCUGGGCACUGUGGUGUACACCUGUAAUCCAAGUGGCUCAGGAGGCUGAGGUAGGAGGAUCAUGGGUAUAAAGCCAUCUUAGCAAAAGCGAGGUGCUAAGUAACUCAGUGAGACCCUGUCUCUA
Molecule: small RNA, 124 nt
Filed under: Marmota monax (woodchuck)
Lineage: Eukaryota; Metazoa; Chordata; Mammalia; Rodentia; Sciuridae
Source: RNAcentral